GAUGAACGCUGGCGGCGUGCCUAAUACAUGCAAGUCGAGCGAACGGACGAGAAGCUUGCUUCUCUGAUGUUAGCGGCGGACGGGUGAGUAACACGUGGAUAACCUACCUAUAAGACUGGGAUAACUUCGGGAAACCGGAGCUAAUACCGGAUAAUAUUUUGAACCGCAUGGUUCAAAAGUGAAAGACGGUCUUGCUGUCACUUAUAGAUGGAUCCGCGCUGCAUUAGCUAGUUGGUAAGGUAACGGCUUACCAAGGCAACGAUGCAUAGCCGACCUGAGAGGGUGAUCGGCCACACUGGAACUGAGACACGGUCCAGACUCCUACGGGAGGCAGCAGUAGGGAAUCUUCCGCAAUGGGCGAAAGCCUGACGGAGCAACGCCGCGUGAGUGAUGAAGGUCUUCGGAUCGUAAAACUCUGUUAUUAGGGAAGAACAUAUGUGUAAGUAACUGUGCACAUCUUGACGGUACCAAAUCAGAAAGCCACGGCUAACUACGU
This 496-nucleotide ribosomal RNA is filed under the name uncultured bacterium. Its description in RNAcentral is "partial 16S ribosomal RNA". It matches the Rfam family "Bacterial small subunit ribosomal RNA", at positions 28 to 506 of the family's 1533-position model. The record is from RNAcentral.